RNAcentral lists this ribosomal RNA (458 nucleotides) under Theileria annulata. RNAcentral's name for it is "SSU rRNA". It matches the Rfam family "Eukaryotic small subunit ribosomal RNA", at positions 486 to 984 of the family's 1831-position model. Lineage: Eukaryota; Apicomplexa; Aconoidasida; Piroplasmida; Theileriidae. The record is from RNAcentral.
CGGGGCUUUAAGUCUUGUAAUUGGAAUGAUGGGAAUUUAAACCUCUUCCAGAGUAUCAAUUGGAGGGCAAGUCUGGUGCCAGCAGCCGCGGUAAUUCCAGCUCCAAUAGCGUAUAUUAAAAUUGUUGCAGUUAAAAAGCUCGUAGUUGAAUUUCUGCUGCAUUGCUUGUGUCCCUCUGGGGUCUGUGCAUGUGGCUUUUUUCGGACGGAGUUUCUUUGUCUGAAUGUUUACUUUGAGAAAAUUAGAGUGCUCAAAGCAGGCUUUCGCCUUGAAUAGUUUAGCAUGGAAUAAUAAAGUAGGACUUUGGUUCUAUUUUGUUGGUUUUAGGUACCAAAGUAAUGGUUAAUAGGAACAGUUGGGGGCAUUCGUAUUUAACUGUCAGAGGUGAAAUUCUUAGAUUUGUUAAAGACGAACUACUGCGAAAGCAUUUGCCAAGGAUGUUUUCAUUAAUCAAGAAC